ACGGGGGCAGCAGGCGCGAAAACUGACCCAAUGCGCGAAAGCGUGAGUCGGUCAAUCCGAGUGUAGACCCAUCGGUUUACUUUUAUCAUGUGUACAAAGCUUGGUGAAUAAUGUGAGGGCAAGACUGGUGCCAGCCGCCGCGGUAAAACCAGCUCAUAGAGUGGUGAUCGUGAUUAUUUGGCUUAAAGUGUGCGUAGCAGGGAAUUCUAAGUCCUCUGUGAAAUGUCAGGUCUUAAGCUUGACACGUGCAGAGGAUACUGGAAUCCUUGGGACCGGGAUAGGUGUAAUGUACGGUUUGGGUAGGGGUGAAAUCCGAUAAUCCAAGCCGGACAACCGAUGGCGAAGGCGUUACACUGGAACGGGUCCGACUGUGAGGCACGAAAGCUAGGGUCGCGAGCCGGAUUAGAUACCCGGGUAGUCCUAUGCUGUAAACGAUGCUCACUAAGUGUUAGGUAAUGCAAGACAUUCUCUAGUGCCGAAGCGAAAGCGUUAAGUGAGCCGCCUGGAAGUA
Molecule: ribosomal RNA, 511 nt
Filed under: uncultured archaeon
Lineage: Archaea
Description: bacterial SSU rRNA
Rfam family: Archaeal small subunit ribosomal RNA
Source: RNAcentral